RNAcentral lists this long non-coding RNA (983 nucleotides) under Homo sapiens (human). Its description in RNAcentral is "HSALNT0032461". Lineage: Eukaryota; Metazoa; Chordata; Mammalia; Primates; Hominidae. The record is from RNAcentral.
CCCUUGGGCCAUCCCUUACAACCAUGUUUUUGACUUCUUGAAAAUGACUCUUUCACAGGAUGCAGAGGGUUGUCAGUGACUCGGGAGUUGUGGGUGUGCCCGUCUUAUCAAUCCCCACAGCCUUGCCUGUGGAGAUGCCCUAUCUGUCCCCACUCUGUCAAGCCCAGGGAAAGGCGUGGGGUCAGAGGAUUUGGCUCUGUCACACCAUUCACUGCCUGCCCUUCUUCCCAGCGCUUCCAAGAUCUGGUUGUAUUAAACACGAGAAUGAAGAGAGGAAAACACCUUCGCCCACGGUGUGCUCUGGGGACAUCUCCAGGUGUGGGUGGUGGCGUCAGCCACAGGACAGGUCAGCUUGUCCUGGCAGAUGCUAUCCAUGGCAGUGCUUCCCUGCCUGGGCCUGGGGAGAGGCCCUCCUGGGAGAUUCCUCUUCUGGCUGAGCCUGUACCUGGGCCUGUGUGCAGGACUCAGACUCUCUUGGACAGAAAUCUUCGUCCCCGUGAAAUGCUGCCAUGUCCCGAGAGACAAGAAAAGAUGCUGUGAAUGUCACGUAUGCUUCCUGGCUACACUCAAGUUCUCAAGGAAUGGAUGUGCCUGAUCCCCUGUCUUACCAGAUAAGGGCCCUCACUGAGGAUGCUCUAGGAACCCACAAGGUGAAGAAGAGGUGCCCCUUCCUUGAAGACUCAGCUGGCAGAGAGGAGAAGCAGCGGGACAUCAGGACUAUGGCUGGACGUCAGAGAGAAGCAGCUUAACUUCAGAGGUGCAGCUUGAUGGUGUAACUUAGGAGAAGAAUCUGACUGGAGACGGCCAGACUUCAGAAGAAGAUGACCUACCCCCCCAUCCCCUUUUCAGCUUCCCUUCCCGCUGAGAGCCACUUUUAUUGGCAAUAAAAUCCUCCACAUUUACCACCUUUCAAUGUGUUCAUGUGACUUCAUUAUUCCUGGACACCGGACAAGAGCUCAGGGGCCACAGGUGUGGAUAUGAAA